GACAGAGGGUGCAAACGUUGCUCGGAAUUACUGGGCGUAAAGCGUGCGUAGACGGUUACAUAAGUCGGGUGUGAAAGCCCCGGGCUCAACCUGGGAAUUGCAUUCGAGACUGCGUAGCUAGGGUGCGGAAGAGGGAAGCGAAAUUUCCGGUGUAGCGGUGAAAUGCGUAGAUAUCGGAAGGAACACCAGUGGCGAAAGCGGCUUCCUGGUCCAGCACCGACGUUCAGGCACGAAAGCGUGGGGAGCAAACAGG
RNAcentral lists this ribosomal RNA (253 nucleotides) under uncultured bacterium. Its description in RNAcentral is "partial 16S ribosomal RNA". It matches the Rfam family "Bacterial small subunit ribosomal RNA", at positions 524 to 776 of the family's 1533-position model. The record is from RNAcentral.